GACACCCAAUGUCUCCGCCUGGACUGCCUCCGAUCCCUGCCGUCCUACAUCAGGAUCACCAUGGCGCAUCGCCAUCAGCAGCAAUCGGCUACAUAAGAACGAAGUUCCUUCGAGUCCACAGCCACCGCGCGGCCUCAUCUCCGGUAAGCCUGGCGGCGGGUGCAGCGUCCGGACAAUCUGGAUCCUCACGCCCCAUGACGCGAUCUACCCUUUCCAGUGGUGGGGAAAUGGAGGCGCGUGGGAGGCGGAAGGGGCUGGGAAGGGCGUGAAGAUGCGACUGUCGGCUGACUACGAGAAGCCCAUGCCUUUGCCGGCAAUUUGAGAAGAUGCUGAGUACAAUAAUGGAAAUUGGACAGGUUAAUCGACCAAUAAUCAUGGUUUAUGGUGGAACUACUAAGGCCAUAUGCCUUAAAUAUCUGCUUUCCAGUUAAGUGUGUCACCUUUGAAUGCCCCUAACCCGGGGCUGAAACAGCGGGGUCAAAGGAAUCCGCGACAGGCACAAGCCAUUGUCGCCUGCUGCCUGAGUUGGCGCUGAAACGGCGCGGUUGAGGGGCUCCACGACAGGGAUGGUCCAUUCUUCGCUUGCAGCGUUUGAGUCGGUGUUGCGGCAGGGGUCGAGGGGCUCCCCGACGGAAACACUCUCCCCAGGAGUCUACGACAAUGAGAUGGUGUCACCCAUGCUGAGCAGUGAGAUCGCGCUAGCCCUACAUGUCGCCUACCUAUGCCACUACGUUCUGCUGCGAGCAAGCGAUGUUCUCUCCAUGGUGUCAUGUACAUAAGAGAGAUGUCAUGUGCAGAGCUCUCUUACGGGCUUGCCAUUCACGCCACUUGGAAUUGGGGUUCACCAGUCAUGGCCAUGGGAUGAGUCAGCUAUGCGAAGGAGUGAAUGAUCAAGGGCGGGGCGAUGGUGAGCUCGCUGGAAUGGACAAGCCUACAAUGCAUUGUUGGUUGUGCGUGGGAAGAUUGAGAAGAAGCUAAAAAUGGAGAUGGGGAAGCAGCUGUCGGCCUGUGUAGGUUUACGGCAACAGUUUACGACCAUAUUAUGCUUGUAGCAGCAUAUGCCCAUAUUAUCUCGGCCGAGCUCUUAGACAGUACGCAAAACCGUGACCGUGAAACGCAUGAUGUAGGGACAUUUGAUGCUUUGAACCUUGAUUGCCGGUGCACAACGUUGUAUUCACAAGAAUCUACUGAAAAGUGGACCCUCUUUGAUAUAAACCAAACAAUUCGUGUUUUGGGUGAUUGACUAAUGCUACUGUUGUGUUUACGAGCA
Lolium rigidum is the source of this 1270-nucleotide long non-coding RNA. RefSeq lists it as uncharacterized. Lineage: Eukaryota; Viridiplantae; Streptophyta; Magnoliopsida; Poales; Poaceae. The transcript has 5 exons. The record is from RefSeq and is a predicted model, not a curated record.